Molecule: long non-coding RNA, 1375 nt
Organism: Diceros bicornis minor
Lineage: Eukaryota; Metazoa; Chordata; Mammalia; Perissodactyla; Rhinocerotidae
Exons: 4
Source: RefSeq, a predicted model, not a curated record
GCUGGCAACGCGGUGGGCAGGCCGGGUAGGCGCGCAGGGCUGCCUGGCCGACUGAGGUCGCAGCUUGGGGAACCCGCGGAAAUGGCCAGAGUGGCAGAACCCGGGGACAUAGAAGUCGAAGGGACCCAACCUCUGAGGAGUUGAGACCGGUCUCUCUGGGGGUUUAUGCCUGGCAGGAGAGGAACAUUCAGCAGCCCGUGCUUUCUCAGCAAUCUUAACUUCUCCUCAGGGGAUCCUUAGCCCUGUGGCUGAUGGACUGCGAGAUUGUCACAGUGAUUUUGCCUAGCUUGUGCAAGAUCACACCUGGGGCUGGGAACAGCCAAUUGCUGCUAUGUAGAUUCAUUUGGUUCAGCAAAUACUUAUUGAAAGGACUCCUUUAUGUGCCAACCACAGGAAACCAAAAGAUGAAUAAAAGAAGACCCUGCCCUCACAAGAAUGGCUCCCACUCCCUAAUCCCUGGAACCUGUGAAUAUGUUACAUAACAUGGCAAAAGGGACUUUGCAGAUGUAAUUAAAGUGGUAGACCUUAAAAUAGGGAGAUUAUCCUGGAUUGUGUGGGUGGCCCAAUCUAAUCACAUGAGUUCUUAAAAGCAGAGCCUUUGCUUGGGUUAUAAGCAGAAGAGAUGUGACAGCAAGAGAAGUCAGAGAGAUUCAAAGCAUGAAAAGGAUUCAACAUGCUAGAAGAUGGAAGGGCCUGUGACAAGGAAUGCAGGUGACCUUCAGGAGCUGAGAGAGCUUCUGGCUGACAGCCAGGGAGGAAAUGAGACCCCUGCCCUACAACUGCUAGGAAUUGAAUUCGGCCAACAACCUGAAUGAUCUUGGAAGCAGAUUUCAUCUGCAAAGCCUCCAGAGAAGAAUGCAGCCACGCUGACACCUGGCUUUUGUCCUUAUGAGACUCUAAGCAGAGGGCUCAGCUGGGCCACGCUAUACCCAGACUUCUGGACUACAGGACCGUGAGACAACAAAUGGAUAUUUUAAGCCACUAAAUUUAUAGUAAUUUUUUACAGCAGCAGUGGAAAACCCAUACAUGUACCAAACCUUGAAAUCUGGUAUGUAUGUUACACUUACAGCCCAUUUCCCUGUGGACUGUCCACACUUCAAGUAUUCGAUAGACCAAGAGGAGUAAGAUGUCUAGAAAGUACUAAGCUUGUAGGCUAAAUAUAAUGUCACCAUGUGGAGAGAGAAGAGGAGCAAGGAAGGGAGGAAACGGGCAGGAUCUCUCCUUAUUCCCCAUCCUUGCCCCAUGUGAAUGGGGUAAUCUUGCUGACACAGAAAAUAGCCUAAAUCUUACGCAUCAGAUUGUCAAAACUCAUUGGACUCUCAUAUUUUUGCUUUUAUUACCUUGAGGCUAUUAAUAAAGUCUUUUUUGAAUAUUC